GACGAACGCUGGCGGCGUGCUUAACACAUGCAAGUCGAACGAAGAGCGAUGGAAGCUUUCUUCUAUCAAUCUUAGUGGCGAACGGGUGAGUAACGCGUAACCAACCCGCCCUUUUGAGGGGGACAACAGUUGGAAACGACUGCUAAUACCACAUACGCUCUGACCUCGGUAUCGAGGAUAGAUGAAAGGUGGCUUCUACUUGUAAGCCAUCACUGAAGGUGGGGAUUGCGUCUGUUGAGCAAGUUGGAGGGGUAACGGCCCACCAAGGCGAUGGUGAGUAGCCGGUAUGAGAGGAUGAACGGCCACCUUGAGAGGGAGACAGGGCCCAGUCGCCUUCGGGAGGCAGCAGUGGGGAAUCUUCCGGAAUGGGCGAGAGUCUGUCGGAGAAACGCCGCGGCAGUGAUGACGGACGCCGGGUUGUAAAGCUCGGUUAAUCGGGACGAAAGGCCUUUUUGCGAAUAGUAAGAGGGAGUGACGGUACCGGAAUAGAAAGCCACGGCUAACUACGUG
This 510-nucleotide ribosomal RNA is filed under the name uncultured bacterium. RNAcentral's name for it is "partial 16S ribosomal RNA". It matches the Rfam family "Bacterial small subunit ribosomal RNA", at positions 28 to 507 of the family's 1533-position model. The record is from RNAcentral.